GAGCCCGAUGUCCAAAUCCGAUGCGGUUGAUAGUGAAACUGUCCGAAGGCUACAAUUUUCUGAGAUAAGCAAAGUGGAAGCCUCCCGCCCUACAAUAGCUGAGGUUGUGCAGGGGAAUCGGAAUGCACAAAUGGGUAAGCCAUUAUCAUUUAUGCCUCCUACUGAUAGAGAGGGUAAGAAGAUCGUAAAAUUAAGUGAGGAUGAUUUCC
This 209-nucleotide long non-coding RNA is filed under the name Nicotiana benthamiana. Its description in RNAcentral is "long non-coding RNA (NBEN_LNC032570)". Lineage: Eukaryota; Viridiplantae; Streptophyta; Magnoliopsida; Solanales; Solanaceae. The record is from RNAcentral.